This 496-nucleotide ribosomal RNA is filed under the name Vibrio campbellii. RNAcentral describes it as "bacterial SSU rRNA". It matches the Rfam family "Bacterial small subunit ribosomal RNA", at positions 26 to 501 of the family's 1533-position model. Lineage: Bacteria; Pseudomonadati; Pseudomonadota; Gammaproteobacteria; Vibrionales; Vibrionaceae. The record is from RNAcentral.
AGAUUGAACGCUGGCGGCAGGCCUAACACAUGCAAGUCGAGCGGAAACGAGUUAUCUGAACCUUCGGGGAACGAUAACGGCGUCGAGCGGCGGACGGGUGAGUAAUGCCUAGGAAAUUGCCCUGAUGUGGGGGAUAACCAUUGGAAACGAUGGCUAAUACCGCAUAAUGCCUACGGGCCAAAGAGGGGGACCUUCGGGCCUCUCGCGUCAGGAUAUGCCUAGGUGGGAUUAGCUAGUUGGUGAGGUAAGGGCUCACCAAGGCGACGAUCCCUAGCUGGUCUGAGAGGAUGAUCAGCCACACUGGAACUGAGACACGGUCCAGACUCCUACGGGAGGCAGCAGUGGGGAAUAUUGCACAAUGGGCGCAAGCCUGAUGCAGCCAUGCCGCGUGUGUGAAGAAGGCCUUCGGGUUGUAAAGCACUUUCAGUCGUGAGGAAGGUAGUGUAGUUAAUAGCUGCAUUAUUUGACGUUAGCGACAGAAGAAGCACCGGCUAAU